Molecule: small nucleolar RNA, 106 nt
Filed under: Rosellinia necatrix
Lineage: Eukaryota; Fungi; Ascomycota; Sordariomycetes; Xylariales; Xylariaceae
Description: Small nucleolar RNA Z13/snr52
Rfam family: Small nucleolar RNA Z13/snr52
About the family: Z13 or snr52 is a member of the C/D class of snoRNA which contain the C (UGAUGA) and D (CUGA) box motifs.
Source: Rfam by way of RNAcentral
UCGAGCCUUUAUGAUGAACCAUUUCGGAUGUAAAUUUCAUUUUUUACUGAAUUGCGCAAAACAACACCAUGUUGAUAUUUCCGUUGCCUUCCUUCUGAUCUACACU